Molecule: ribosomal RNA, 774 nt
Filed under: uncultured Neocallimastigales
Lineage: Eukaryota; Fungi; Neocallimastigomycota; Neocallimastigomycetes; Neocallimastigales
Description: partial large subunit ribosomal RNA
Rfam family: Eukaryotic large subunit ribosomal RNA
Source: RNAcentral
AUAUCAGUCAUGCAUAGCAUAUCAAUAAGCGGAGGAAAAGAAACUAACAAGGAUUCCCCUAGUAACGGCGAGUGAAGCGGGAAGAGCUCAAAUUUGAAAUCUUAAAGGGUUUCCCUUUACGAAUUGUAGUUUAAAGAAGUGUUUUCUGUUGAGGUUUUGGUAAAAGUUCUUUGGAAUAGGACAUCAUAGAGGGUGAGAAUCCCGUAUUUGACCUUUACUUUCAACUUUGUGAUACACUUUCAAAGAGUCGGAUUGUUUGGGAAUGCAGUCCAAAAUGGGUGGUAAAUUUCAUCUAAAGCUAAAUAUUGGCGAGAGACCGAUAGCGAACAAGUACCGUGAGGGAAAGAUGAAAAGAACUUUGAAAAGAGAGUUAAACAGUACGUGAAAUUGUCAAAAGGGAAGCGUUUGACACCAGUGUUGUUUUUCUGAAAAUCAAUUAAAGAGCUGUUUAUGCUAAGUUGUUUAGACUUUAUCAGCUAACUGUUUAGUUUUGAGCUUUUCUUUAAUGCACUUUUCAGUUAACAAGUCAACAUCAAUUUCUUUUGCUGUAAAAAAGCUUGAGGAAGGUGGCUUGAGAUUCGUCUUAAGUGUUUAUAGCCUCUUGCCUAUGCAGUCGGAGAGAUUGAGGUCUGCAGCGUAGAUCCUUCGGGGCUAAAUGCAUUUGUGCUAAGUUAUAGCAUUUUAUAGACAACUUGUUGACUAUGAUUUGUCUUGUAGCUUACUCGCUUAUGUUAUUUUACCUACGCUUAGGAUGUUGACGCGCGUGUGUGCGUG